UUUCAACACUAAAACGUAAUUAUAUCAAUUUAUCAUAGUUUAUUUGUUGUACUUUCUAAAACAUUUGGCUUGCAAAAUGAUAACGUGUGAUAUUAUCAUAUUUUCAAAAUACCGCUACGGUUACUAGAUGCAUCCAAAAGUCGUUAUAAUGGGCGGGACUAAAUUAACAUAAAUAAACUUCCUGUAGUCCCUCGAACGUGAUGAAAAAUGUUUACAGUAGAAUACAUAGUUUGCAUCUGUCGUUUCAUGGACAUUUACACCAAAAGAUGUAAAAGAUAUUUUGUGUUCUAAUAGUACUUCUCUCUGAAGACAAUAGUUGAUUAUGGCUGUGGAUAAUAAUCAGGAUACCAAAGUUAAAGAAAGGAGAUAUCUUUCUUUGUGGUGAAAGUGCAAGAAAUAACACCAUAUUCUGACUUACAAAAUGAUCACUCAUACUGCAUGCAAUACAGGGAAAGGCAUCAA
This is a long non-coding RNA of Mytilus californianus (California mussel), 462 nucleotides long. RefSeq lists it as uncharacterized. NCBI's taxonomy places the organism in Eukaryota, Metazoa, Mollusca, Bivalvia, Mytilida, Mytilidae. The record is from RefSeq and is a predicted model, not a curated record. The transcript is spliced from 3 exons.